UGGCGGACGGGUGAGUAAUGUCUGGGAAACUGCCCGAUGGAGGGGGAUAACUACUGGAAACGGUAGCUAAUACCGCAUAAUGUCUACGGACCAAAGCGGGGGACCUCCGGGCCCUGCGCCAUCAGAUGAACCCAUAUGGGAUUAGCUAGUAGGUAAGGUAACGGCUUACCUAGGCGACGAUCCCUAGCUGGUCUGAGAGGAUGAUCAGCCACACUGGGACUGAGACACGGCCCAG
This 235-nucleotide ribosomal RNA is filed under the name uncultured bacterium. RNAcentral describes it as "partial 16S ribosomal RNA". It matches the Rfam family "Bacterial small subunit ribosomal RNA", at positions 96 to 334 of the family's 1533-position model. The record is from RNAcentral.